AUGGUCUGUAGGCUGCGCCGCUCCCUCUAUGGUCUCAAACAGGCCCCUCGCGCCUGGUUUGAGCGCUUCGCCUCUGUGGUGACUGCCGCUGGUUUCUUGCCUAGUGAUCAUGAUCCGGCAUUGUUUGUUCACAUGUCUCCUCGUGGUCGGACUCUUCUCCUUCUCUAUGUUGAUGAUAUGAUCAUCACUGGUGACGACUCUGAUUACAUUGCCUUUGUUAAGGCUUGCCUUCGCGACCAGUUUCUCAUGACUGAUCUUGGUCCACUUUGUUAUUUUCUUGGGAUUGAGAUCUCCUCCACCUCUGAUGGCUUCUACAUCUCCCAAGAAAAACAUAUUCAGAAUCUUCUUGCUCGCGCUGCUCUCGGUGAUGAGCGCACAGUUGUGACUCCCAUGGAGCUCAACGUUCAGCUUCGUGCAUCUGAUGGUGACCCUCUUCCUAAUCCCACUCGCUAUCGUCACCUUGUCGGCAGUCUUGUCUACCUUGUUGUUACGCGUCCUGACAUUUCCUAUCAUGUCCACAUUCUGAGUCAGUUCAUUUCAGCCCCCACCUCUGUCCACUAUAGUCAUCUCCUCUGUGUCCUACGAUAUCUUCGUGGCAUGAUCUCUCAACGCCUUUUCUUUCCUUGCUCUAGCUCUCUUGAGCUCCAUGCCUACUUUGAUGCUACCUGGGCUAGUGAUCCCUCUGAUCGACGGUCGCUGUCUGCUUAUUGUGUCUUUCUUGGUGGCUCUCUUAUUGGCUGGAAGACAAAGAAACAGAAUGCGGUUUCUCGCUCGAGUACAGAGGCUGAGUUGUGA
This 795-nucleotide ribosomal RNA is filed under the name Triticum aestivum (bread wheat). RNAcentral's name for it is "partial small subunit ribosomal RNA". The record is from RNAcentral. Lineage: Eukaryota; Viridiplantae; Streptophyta; Magnoliopsida; Poales; Poaceae.